Molecule: ribosomal RNA, 465 nt
Filed under: uncultured bacterium
Lineage: Bacteria
Description: bacterial SSU rRNA
Rfam family: Bacterial small subunit ribosomal RNA
Source: RNAcentral
CCUACGGGUUGCAGCAGUGGGGAAUAUUGCACAAUGGGCGCAAGCCUGAUGCAGCCAUGCCGCGUGUAUGAAGAAGGCCUUCGGGUUGUAAAGUACUUUCAGCGGGGAGGAAGGCGAUAAGGUUAAUAACCUUGCCGAUUGACGUUACUCGCAGAAGAAGCACCGGCUAACUCCGUGCUAGCAGCCGCGGUAAUACGGAGGGUGCAAGCGUUAAUCGGAAUUACUGGGCGUAAAGCGCACGCAGGCGGUCUGUCAAGUCGGAUGUGGAAUCCCCGGGCUCAACCUGGGAACUGCAUUCGAAACUGGCAGGCUAGAGUCUUGUAGAGGGGGGUAGAAUUCCAGGUGUAGCGGUGAAAUGCGUAGAGAUCUGGAGGAAUACCGGUGGCGAAGGCGGCCCCCUGGACAAAGACUGACGCUCAGGUGCGAAGGCGUGGGGAGCAAACAGGAUUAGAUACCCCCGUAGUC